Molecule: ribosomal RNA, 552 nt
Filed under: uncultured delta proteobacterium
Lineage: Bacteria; Deltaproteobacteria
Description: bacterial SSU rRNA
Rfam family: Bacterial small subunit ribosomal RNA
Source: RNAcentral
AGUGAGGAAUUUUGCGCAAUGGGGGAAACCCUGACGCAGCAACGCCGCGUGAGUGAAGAAGGCUUUCGGGUCGUAAAGCUCUGUCAGAUGGGAAAAAAUUUCUACGGUCAAUAGCCGUAGAGUCUGAUGGUACCAUCAGAGGAAGCACCGGCUAACUCCGUGCCAGCAGCCGCGGUAAUACGGAGGGUGCGAGCGUUGUUCGGAAUUACUGGGCGUAAAGAGCGUGUAGGCGGUUUGGUAAGUCAGAUGUGAAAGCCCUGGGCUUAACCCAGGAAGUGCAUUUGAUACUGCCAUUCUUGAGUAUGGGAGAGGAGAGUGGAAUUCCCAGUGUAGAGGUGAAAUUCGUAGAUAUUGGGAGGAACACCCGUGGCGAAGGCGACUCUCUGGACCAAUACUGACGCUGAGACGCGAAAGCGUGGGGAGCAAACAGGAUUAGAUACCCUGGUAGUCCACGCCGUAAACGAUGAGAACUAGGUGUAGCGGGUAUUGACCCCUGCUGUGCCGAAGUUAACGCAUUAAGUUCUCCGCCUGGGGAGUACGGCCGCAAGGCUA